AUGGGCAAUUCGGGAUUAAGAACUUCCCAUCAGCCUUGCCGAAUUCUCUUAGAACUUCUAGCUAUACACGUUUCUCCUCUGUCUCCUGCCCAAGGGCCAGACCUGCGUGGAAGUGUGGCAGCUCCCCUGUCCACAGCUGCCUCCCCGUGUUCUGUUCCUCGGAAGAUGCUCCCUGAGGAAUCGCACUCAUCUCAUCCUGUGCGGCAUCUGCUUAAAGGACCUGGCCUAACAUGCCCUGCAACAGAGGAUGACAGGAAGCCUUACUUUACAUCAGAUGGGUUUGAGGGAGCCCCGAACUGAGAGCAUCUGAGGUUCUGUGAGGCGGUAGAGAAAAAAAGGUUUGUGUUUCUGUAUGGUUAGGAAUUCUGGGAAAAUCAGAGUGAAACUUGGGACCCGGGCUAAAAGAGCAGCAAACUGCAGAAGUUAAUUCACAACUGUAGCUUGUGAAAACUUCAAAGAGAUUUUUGGCUCUGGUGGUAUUUGUUAUUUCAUUUUUUUUUUUUUUCUUUUUUAAGAGAUGGGGUCUGGCUCUGCUGCCCAGGCUGGAUUGCAGGGGCAUGAUCCUAGCUCACUGUACCCUC
This 581-nucleotide long non-coding RNA is filed under the name Rhinopithecus bieti (black snub-nosed monkey). Its description in RNAcentral is "lncRNA (ENSRBIG00000046032.1)". The record is from RNAcentral. Lineage: Eukaryota; Metazoa; Chordata; Mammalia; Primates; Cercopithecidae.